This 207-nucleotide unclassified non-coding RNA is filed under the name soil metagenome. RNAcentral's name for it is "partial contains 5.8S ribosomal RNA, internal transcribed spacer 2, and large subunit ribosomal RNA". The record is from RNAcentral.
AACAUCGCGCACCUGCGGGAACCUGCGGAGGGAUCAUUACCGAGUUUACAACUCCCAAACCCCUGUGAACAUACCUAUACGUUGCCUCGGCGGAUCAGCCCGCGCCCCGUAAAAAGGGACGGCCCGCCCGAGGACCCCUAAACUCUGUUUUUAGUGGAACUUCUGAGUAAAACAAACAAAUAAAUCAAAACUUUCAGCAACGGAUCU